UACGGGAGGCAGCAGUCGGGAUUUUGGGCAAUGGGCGAAAGCCUGACCCAGCAACGCCGCGUGAAGGAUGAAGUAUUUCGGUAUGUAAACUUCGAAAGAAUAGGAAGAAUAAAUGACGGUACUAUUUAUAAGCUCCGGCUAACUACGUGCCAGCAGCCGCGGUAAUACGUAGGGAGCAAGCGUUGUUCGGAUUUACUGGGCGUAAAGGGCGCGUAGGCGGCGUGUUAAGUCAGCUGUGAAAUCUCCAAGCUCAACUUGGAACGGCCAGCUGAUACUGAUGUGCUAGAGUGCAGAAGGGGCAAUCGGAAUUCUUGGUGUAGCGGUGAAAUGCGUAGAUAUCAAGAGGAACACCUGAGGUGAAGACGGGUUGCUGGGCUGACACUGACGCUGAGGCGCGAAAGGCCAGGGGGAGGCCCCAACGGGAAUUAAGAAUACCCCCGGUUAGUCCUUGCCCCUAAACGAUGAAUACUGGGUGUCUGGGAGUUUUCAAUACUCCGGGUGCCGUCGCUAACGUUUUAAGUAUUCCGCCUGGGGAGUACGCACGCAAGUGUGAACUCAAAGGAAUUG
This 567-nucleotide ribosomal RNA is filed under the name uncultured bacterium. RNAcentral's name for it is "bacterial SSU rRNA". It matches the Rfam family "Bacterial small subunit ribosomal RNA", at positions 340 to 912 of the family's 1533-position model. The record is from RNAcentral.